Molecule: ribosomal RNA, 2984 nt
Filed under: bioreactor metagenome
Description: bacterial LSU rRNA
Rfam family: Bacterial large subunit ribosomal RNA
Source: RNAcentral
UCAAGCGAAGUAAGUGCAUGCGGUGGAUGCCUUGGCGAUCACAGGCGAAGAAGGACGUGCGAGCCUGCGAAAAGCCCGGGGGAGCUGGCAACGAAGCAUUGAUCCCGGGAUGUCCGAAUGGGGAAACCCACCCCUUCACAGAGCGCUUUCGGCGGGCGCAGCCCGUCAAAACCCCUCUACUGCGGCAAGCGGGGCGAGGGCGAGAAAACGCUGUGUGAAGGGGUAUCCCUGGCUGAAUCCAUAGGCCAGAGGAGGCGAACCCGGCGAACUGAACCAUCUCAGUAGCCGGAGGAAAAGAAAUCAACCGAGAUUCCCCAAGUAGUGGCGAGCGAACGGGGAGUAGCCUGCACGACCAACCCAACGGCUCAGCAGAACGGCUCUGGAAAGACCGGCCACAGCGGGUGAUAGCCCCGUAUGCGAAAAGCCGUCGGGGGGUCUAAGCGUGCGACAAGUAGGGCGGGGCACGAGAAACCCUGUUCGAAGAUGGGGGGACCAUCCUCCAAGGCUAAAUACUCGUGAUCGACCGAUAGUGAACCAGUACCGUGAGGGAAAGGCGAAAAGAACCCCGGCGAGGGGAGUGAAAUAGAACCUGAAACCGCAUGCAUACAAACAGUGGGAGCUCCUUUAAGGAGUGACUGCGUACCUUUUGUAUAAUGGGUCAGCGACUUACGUUGCGUGGCGAGCUUAACCGAAUAGGGGAGGCGAAGCGAAAGCGAGUCCGAAUAGGGCGAAUGAGUCGCGCGGCGUAGACCCGAAACCGGGUGAUCUAUCCAUGGCCAGGGUGAAGGCACCCUAACCGGUGCUGGAGGCCCGAACCCACUACUGUUGCAAAAGUAGGGGAUGAGCUGUGGAUAGGGGUGAAAGGCUAAACAAACCCGGAAAUAGCUGGUUCUCCCCGAAAGCUAUUGAGGUAGCGCGUCGCAUGGACACUUGCGGGGGUAGAGCACUGUCAUCGUUGGGGGGGUCAUUGCGAUCUACCCCGCGAUAGCAAACUCCGAAUACCGCAAAGUGAUGUGCGGCAGACAGACACCGGGUGCUAACGUCCGGUGUCAAGAGGGAAACAACCCAGACCGCCAGCUAAGGCCCCCAAUGCGUGGCUAAGUGGGAAACGAAGUGGGAAGGCGAAGACAGCUAGGAGGUUGGCUUAGAAGCAGCCACCCUUUAAAGAAAGCGUAAUAGCUCACUAGUCGAGUCGUCCUGCGCGGAAGAUGUAACGGGGCUCAAGCCACGAGCCGAAGCUGCGGAUGCGUGCCUCUCGAGGCACGCGUGGUAGGGGAGCGUUCGGUAAGCCUGCGAAGGUGGCCCGAGAGGGCUGCUGGAGGUAUCCGAAGUGCGAAUGCUGACAUGAGUAGCGAUAAAACGGGUGAAAAGCCCGUUCGCCGAAAGCCCAAGGGUUCCGACGCAACGUUCAUCGGCGUCGGGUCAGUCGGCCCCUAAGGCGAGGCCGAAAGGCGUAGUCGAUGGGAAACGGGUCAACAUUCCCGUACCGUCGUGCAAUGCGAUGGGGGGACGAAGAAGGCUAAGUGGGUCGGGUGUUGGACGUCCCGAUUCAAGCCCGUAGCCUGGCGCGGUAGGCAAAUCCGCCGCGCUAGAGGUGAGAGGUGAUGACGAGGGCAGCCCACGGGCCGCCCAAGCCACCGAGGCCCCGCUUCCAGGAAAAGCCCCUAAGCUUCAGUUGCACGAUGACCGUACCGCAAACCGACACAGGUGGGCUGGUGUCAAAGCACCAAGGCGCUUGAGAGAACCCAGGAGAAGGAACUCGGCAAAUUGACACCGUAACUUCGGGAGAAGGUGUGCCCCAAGUAGGUGAGUCUGCACGCCAGACGAGCCCAACGGGGUCGCAGAGAAUCGGGGGCUGCGACUGUUUAUUAAAAACACAGCACUCUGCCAAGACGAAAGUCGACGUAUAGGGUGUGACGCCUGCCCGGUGCCGGAAGGUUAAGUGAUGGGGUGCAAGCUCCUGAUCGAAGCCCCGGUAAACGGCGGCCGUAACUAUAACGGUCCUAAGGUAGCGAAAUUCCUUGUCGGGUAAGUUCCGACCUGCACGAAUGGCGUAACGAUGGCCCCACUGUCUCCUCCUGGGACUCAGCGAAAUUGAAAUGGUUGUGAAGAUGCAAUCUCCCCGCGGCUAGACGGAAAGACCCCAUGAACCUUUACUGCAGCUUUGCAUUGGACUUUGAUGUGGCCUGUGUAGGAUAGGUGGGAGGCUGAGAAGCCGAGGCGCCAGCUUCGGUGGAGCCGCCCUUGAAAUACCACCCUGGUCACCUCGAGGUUCUAACCGCGCACCGUACAUCCGGUGCCGGGACCGUGCAUGGCAGGCAGUUUGACUGGGGCGGUCUCCUCCCAAAAGGUAACGGAGGAGCACGAAGGUACGCUUGGCACGGUCGGAAAUCGUGCUGUAUGUGCAAGGGCAUAAGCGUGCUUGACUGUGAGGCCCACAAGCCGAACAGGUGCGAAAGCAGGUCCUAGUGAUCCGGUGGUUCUGUAUGGAAGGGCCAUCGCUCAACGGAUAAAAGGUACUCUGGGGAUAACAGGCUGAUACCGCCCAAGAGUUCACAUCGACGGCGGUGUUUGGCACCUCGAUGUCGGCUCAUCUCAUCCUGGGGCUGUAGUCGGUCCCAAGGGUAUGGCUGUUCGCCAAUUAAAGCGGUACGUGAGCUGGGUUUAGAACGUCGUGAGACAGUUUGGUCCCUAUCUGCCGUGGGCGCUGGAAGUUUGAGGGGAUCUGCUCCUAGUACGAGAGGACCGGAGUGGACGCACCUCUGGUGUACCGGUUGUCACGCCAGUGGCACCGCCGGGUAGCUAUGUGCGGAAGGAAUAACCGCUGAAAGCAUCUAAGCGGGAAAUCCCCCCCAAGAUGAGACUUCCCCGGGGGCUCGACCCCCCUGAAGGGCCGUGGAAGACCACCACGUCGAUAGGGCGCAGGUGUAAGGCGGGUAACCGCUUGAGCUGAGCGCUACUAAUUGCCCGUGCGGCUUGAUCCU